UCCGACUUCACGUCGGCAGUCUCGUUAGAGUGCCCAGCUUUCCUGGUGGCAACUAACGACAAGGGUUGCGCUCGUUGCGGGACUUAACCCAACAUCUCACGACACGAGCUGACGACAGCCAUGCAGCACCUUCUCACCGGUUCCCCGAAGGGCACCCUGGUCUUUCUACCAGGUCCCGGUGGAUUUAACCCAGGUAAGGUUCUUCGCGUUGCGU
RNAcentral lists this unclassified non-coding RNA (214 nucleotides) under uncultured Kofleriaceae bacterium. RNAcentral's name for it is "contains 16S-23S intergenic spacer region". Lineage: Bacteria; Pseudomonadati; Myxococcota; Haliangiales; Kofleriaceae. The record is from RNAcentral.